CCUGGUGGCUCAGACGGUAAAGCGUCUGCCUGCAGUGCAGGAGAUCCAGGUUCAAUCCCUGGGUCAGGA
This 69-nucleotide transfer RNA is filed under the name Bos taurus (domestic cattle). It matches the Rfam family "tRNA". From Rfam's summary of the family: Transfer RNA (tRNA) molecules are approximately 80 nucleotides in length. Their secondary structure includes four short double-helical elements and three loops (D, anti-codon, and T loops). Lineage: Eukaryota; Metazoa; Chordata; Mammalia; Artiodactyla; Bovidae. The record is from Rfam by way of RNAcentral. RNAcentral also lists the same sequence under 1 other name.